This 503-nucleotide ribosomal RNA is filed under the name uncultured bacterium. RNAcentral's name for it is "partial 16S ribosomal RNA". It matches the Rfam family "Bacterial small subunit ribosomal RNA", at positions 30 to 523 of the family's 1533-position model. The record is from RNAcentral.
AUUGAACGCUGGCGGCAGGCUUAACACAUGCAAGUCGAGCGGAGUGAUGGUGCUUGCACUAUCACUUAGCGGCGGACGGGUGAGUAAUGCUUAGGAAUCUGCCUAUUAGUGGGGGACAACAUCUCGAAAGGGAUGCUAAUACCGCAUACGACCUACGGGAGAAAGCAGGGGACAACUUGUGACCUUGCGCUAAUAGAUGAGCCUAAGUCGGAUUAGCUAGUUGGUGGGGUAAAGGCCUACCAAGGCGACGAUCUGUAGCGGGUCUGAGAGGAUGAUCCGCCACACUGGGACUGAGACACGGCCCAGACUCCUACGGGAGGCAGCAGUGGGGAAUAUUGGACAAUGGGGGGAACCCUGAUCCAGCCAUGCCGCGUGUGUGAAGAAGGCCUUAUGGUUGUAAAGCACUUUAAGCGAGGAGGAGGCUCUUUUGGUUAAUACCCAAGAUGAGUGGACGUUACUCGCAGAAUAAGCACCGGCUAACUCUGUGCCAGCCGCCGCCGUAA